RNAcentral lists this ribosomal RNA (170 nucleotides) under uncultured bacterium. Its description in RNAcentral is "partial 16S ribosomal RNA". It matches the Rfam family "Bacterial small subunit ribosomal RNA", at positions 338 to 524 of the family's 1533-position model. The record is from RNAcentral.
CCUACGGGAGGCAGCAGUGGGGAAUAUUGGGCAAUGGCCGAAAGGCUGACCCAGCAACGCCGCGUGGUGGAAGAAGCCCUUCGGGGUGUAAACACCUUUUCUGGGGGAAGAUAAUGACGGUACCCCAGGAAUAAGGGACGGCUAAGCUACGUGCCAGCAGCCGCGGUAAU